ACGACCCAGGGGAGAACUUUUCGGU
RNAcentral lists this non-coding RNA (25 nucleotides) under Cricetulus griseus (Chinese hamster). Lineage: Eukaryota; Metazoa; Chordata; Mammalia; Rodentia; Cricetidae. The record is from RNAcentral.